AUUCUUCCCUUGAUUAUCCCCACUGCACCUUUUGCCCUAUAGGAAUGCAACUCUAUCUAGUGCUUUCAGGGAGUGGCGCCAAACUUUAAGAAAAAUCACCUUUGGAGAAAGUAAGUUUUUCUGGUUGACUAACCUUUAUCAGAAGAAGAAUGUUAGCAGGUCUCCUGACCAGAAGAUGAUGUAAAUCACCUAAAGCCUUUGUAUAUGAUAGGUUUGCAGAAAGAAAGCCUGGUUUCGAUAAGGGUCAAGGACUGCUGACCUUGCAUGACUUUGCACCCCCUAUUAUCUUCUACAUACAACUUAGGGUAUAAAAGCUCCUUCUGAAAAUAAAGCUAUGGGCCUCUCUCACUGAAGCUUGGUCUCCCCGUGUCAUUCUUUCUCUCUCUCUCUCUCUCGCUGACGCCGACGCCGUCUCUCCUGAGGGUACCCCUGGAUCCUGCUGGGGCUGGACCCCAGUAAGUGGCACCUGAACAGGGUCCCGAAGGAGACCACCAGGACGCCCAGCUCGUGCAACUCAACAAGCCUCCAUACCUACCUGGGGACAGAUUAAGAUGCUCUGUCACCAGGCACAAGGGGUAGCUUCCCUGCAGGGCUCUCCAGCCUCUCCUGAGAGAGUGUUUAUUGCUCUGCUUGCCUUACUAUCUUGCCAGAAUUCUUUGACAGAGCACUCAGAAGCUUGCGACUGAAUUACAUCUGGCUGUCUUAAGAAACAAAAAAGGGGGAGAUGCCAGGAGCCAGCACGGGAAUUCCCACCCAUGACAAGGUCAUGCGGAAGAGGCCUGAUGGGCAAGGCGAGUCAGACCUCGAGGGGCCCCCCUGGACCUGCCUGAGCGUCUACCCCAAAACCAGAAUCUGUUUGUUUUACUAUUUUACGACUUUCACCAACUCCUCUGACAUUUAUGGGGGGCUAUCCCUGACCACCUUUCUCUGUAAGAAAAUCAACUUAGAGCUCUAGUUAAUAAGUCUCCAGGGUAUAAUAGGUGUGUUCCAAUUCAGAUCCCUCAGAUAGCUCUCUAACUUGCCUGAUAGGUUUCUGGACUCUUACAGCUACACAUGUGAUUGUUCACAGCCUCCCAACCAGAGAAGCACAGGAAGCUUAAGAUAUUCUAACAAUGCAGAGCUUCUAGGGGAGUUAAUAUUGUUAAAAUACAACUAAGUAGAGGAUUUCUUUGUUGAGCUAAUGCUUGCUGCCAAGUUUCCAUAUCCCUUACCCACUCACUGUGUCCCUGGGAGUGUAUUGAUUAAUAUAGUUGGUAUAUAGAAAAUAAGUAGAAGCUUUAAUGUUAACAACCUUAGACCCUUGAGUUAAUAAAUUCUCCCCUUGAUUAUCCCCACUGCACCUUU
Long non-coding RNA from Bubalus bubalis (water buffalo), 1344 nucleotides. RefSeq lists it as uncharacterized. The record is from RefSeq and is a predicted model, not a curated record. NCBI's taxonomy places the organism in Eukaryota, Metazoa, Chordata, Mammalia, Artiodactyla, Bovidae. The transcript is spliced from 3 exons.